GUCUUCUCUCCUAGUUAGAUUGUAAGUAGCUGCUUUAUAUGCUAUGCUGGUAAUGUGACUCUGGACCCAAUACAAUAAAACAGUGAGAUGAUCUGUAUUAAUUACCUGUCAUUCAUUUUUUUUAUGUAAGCUGUUAUGGAGGAUCUGGAGCCCAGCUAGAAGCUUCCUACAAGAUGAAGGUCAGAAUGAAAAAGAACUAAAGACUUGUACAUUUCAUAUGAUAGAAUCAACAAUAUUUUAAAAUGAUUCCUUAACGAGUCUUGUUACUGUACAUCUAUUUUGUAAUGGGUAAUAAGUUGUUCUAUUACCCAUUCAAGCUUCCCAGAUCAGGGCCGUAUUUACCAUUAAGCAGUCAGCAAACACUAGGCAGGGGGGGGGGGUCUGUUAAAAGUCCCCCUUACCUCUUGCCCAAUGUUUGCUAACUGGAACAAAGGCUUCUGGACUCUGGGAUCUUUGUGUCCAGUCUGAGGGAGCCUGAUCUGUGCAUGGCCCUGUUCCCUUAGACUGACCACAGCAACCCAGACUACUACACAAACACACUACUACACAUGCUGCUACCCACACUGUUACACAUAGUUCUACACAUACUCUCUCUCUCUGAUCACCACCUCCUAUCGUUUGCUCUCGAGUACCCCCUCACCCAACAACCUCAGCCUAACCCCCCUCAACUAAGGAGGAACCUUAAUUCUAUUGACCCCCAGCAGCUGUCAGCUGAUAUUGAUUCACAACUGCUAUCUAUCCCUUCCCUCUCCUGUCGCUCACUGGCCAUCUCCACAUAUAACACUACCCUCACCUCUGCCUUGAACGCUGCAUCCCCGCUCCAAACAUGCACCUCGAGGUGGACAUGCCCCCAACCAUGGCAUACUAAAUCAACACGCUACCUGCAAAGAUGCUCCCGAUGUGCUGAACACUCCUGGAGCAAGUCUCGCACCAGGCAGACUUUCUCUAUUAAAGAUUCAUAUUGUGUUCAUACAGCGCAGCCCUUGUCCUCGCCAAACCGUCAUACUUUUCCUCACUCAUUAGAUUAGAUUGCUCCUGCAAUCCCAGGCCUCUCUUUGACACCUUUAACUCUCUUCUUCGCCCAGCUGUGGCCACCCCCCAAACUAACCUUACAGUCGAUAGCUUUGCAUGCUACUUUACCGACAAGAUUGAACAGCUAAGGAAAGAAUUCUCACCACCCUACCAUUCUCUUUCUCAACCACACGUAGAUCAUGCCUUUCCUACCCUUCAGACUUUCUCCCCGGCUACUGGACAAGAGGUGGCUGCACUUCUCCUUUCCUCUCGCCCCACCACUUGCCCGCUCGGUCCUGUCCCAUCUCACCUUAUCAGACCUCUCUCCCCUUGUCUUGUGCCUUCCUUAACACACAUCUUCAACUGCUCUCUUCUGGUUUUGUCCCUGCUGACCUUAAACAUGUCACUGUAGUACCUAUCCUGAAAAAAACAUCUCUUGACCCAUCCUCCCCCUUUAUCAUCCCAUAUCCCUGCUCCCUUUUUCCUCAAAGCUUCUGGAAAGAAUUGUCUUUGCCCGUGUGUCUCACUUCUUCAAUUCCAACUCUCCCCUUAAUUCUCUUCAAACUGGCUUCCGCCCUCUCCACUCUACUGAGACUGCUCUUAUCAAAGUUACAAACGACCUAAUCGCAGCUAAAUCCAAAGGCCACUACUCCAUACUAAUUCUUCUUGACCUCAAUGCUGCCUUUGACACUGUUGAUCAUGCACUCCUUCUUCAAACUCUUCAAUCACCCAGUCCCUAUGACUAUGUCCUCUCGUGGUUUUCCUCUUAUCUCUCCCAAUGCUCAUUUAGUGUCUCCUUUUCUAAUGAUACCUCUUUCCCUCGUCCUGUCUCGGUUGGAGUCCCCCAAGGUUCUGUCCUUGGUCCCCUUCUAUUUUCUCUUUAUACUGCCUCUCUUGGCAAACUCAUUACCUCUUUUAGAUUCAACUACCACCUGUACGCUGAUGACACCCAGAUAUAUCUCUCCUCGCCGGACCUCUUCCCUGCCAUCCUGCAACGUGUCACUGCUUGCCUUUCUUCCAUCUCUGACUGGAUGUCCUCCCACUUUCUGAAACACAUUCUCUCUAAAACUGAGCUCCUUGUCUUUCCUCCUCCUAAUACUGAUCCUCCUCUUUCACUCUCCCUUCAAGUUAGUGGUAUCCACAUAAGUCCAUCAUUGCAAGAGUGAUGUCUUGGUGACAUACUAGACUCUGGCCUCACCUUUGAGCCUCACAUCCAGUAUGUUGCCAAAUCCUGUAGAUUCCAUCUUAAAAACAUAGCCCGCAUCCAGCCCUUUCUUAUGCAAGAUGCUACCACGGAGCUUGUCCAUGCUCUAGUAAUUUCCCGCAUGGAUUAUUGUAACCCUUUCCUGAUUGGUCUUCCCAAAAGCCGUAUUGCCCCUCUACAGUCUGUAAUGAAUGCUGCCGCCAGACUAAUUUUCCUCUCUAGUCGGUCCUCUCACACCUCACCCCUCUAUCAGUUCUUACAUUGGCUACCUGUAUCCUAUAGGAGUGAAUUCAAAGUGAUAACCCAUACCUAUAAAGCACUGAACAAUUCUAGCCCCUCUUAUAUCUCUUCACAGAUCCAUAGGUAUGCCCCUUCUCAGUCUCUCCCCUCUGCCUGUGACCUUCUCCUGUCCGCUGCUCGCACCCGUAGUCUUGCAGGACUUCUCGUUGGUGGCUUCCUUCCUAUGGAAUAGCCUGCCUACCGCCAUCAGACUCUCCCAUAGUCUUUAAUCGUUUAAGAAGUGCCUUAAAACCCAUCUCUUGAGGAAAGCUUAUGGCCUCCCAGAGUAACCUCUACCUUACAUACCUGUCUCUUGCUAUCUCCUAAAGGGCAGCACUUUAUUCUCUCCUCCAGCUCUGCUUGACUCCCACCUUAUUUGAUUAUUUCCUGUCCUAAUGUGUUUUAUGCGCCACCUUCUAUAGACUGUAAGCUCGUUUGAGCAGAGUCCCCUUCAACCUAUUGUUCCUGUAAGUUUUCUUGUAAUUGUCCUAUUUAUAGUUAAAUCCCCCCCCCCCUCAUAUUAUUGUAAAGAGCUACGGAAUCUGUUGGCGCUAUAUAAUGGCGAUUAUAAUACUACUACACAUGGUGCUACCCACACUGUUAUACACACACACACUUCUACACAUACUAUUACACAUGCUUCUACCCACACUGUUAUGCACACACUUCUACACAUACUGCUACCCACACUGUUACACACACCUCUACACAUACUGCUACCCACAGUUAUACACAUGCACAUACAUACUGCUUACCACACUGUGCACAUACAGACACACCUACAUCAGCUACACACACUACUACACAAUAGUGAUGUCCCGAACAGUUCGCCGAACGGUUCGCCGCGGAUGGCGAACAUAUGACCCUGUACCUCACAGUCAGCAGACACAUUCCAGCCAAUCAGCAGCAGACCCUCCCUCCCAGACCCUCCCACCUCCUGGACAGCAUCCAUUUUACAUUCAUUGUGAAGCUGCAUUCUUAGUGAGCUGUCCAGGAGGUGGGAGGUUCUGGGAGGGAGGGUCUGCUGCUGAUUGGCUGGAAUGUGUCUGCUGACUGUGAGGUACAGGGUCAUAUGUUCGCCGUCCGUGGCGAACCGUUCGGGACAUCACUACUACUCAACAAUUACUGCAGACCACUUCUUUUCCAAUAUAUUUAGAUAUUCUCAUUUUCAAACAGAUGCUUCAUGCGAGAUACAGUAUCUUACUAUAAAGUAGAUCAGAUUAAUUUCAAGCAGAUUUUAAGAAUGUUACAGUAACAUAUGUGGACUAAAAUCAGAAUCCCUAAAAAAGAAUUCCAUUGUAUUUUUUUUUUUUAACAUGUCCCACUUAAUUUAGGCUGUUCUCUAAGAAAGAUAGACUCCUACCCAAUAUUCCAUAGAGAGAAGAUUUGUGCAGUGAGGCAUGGUCUAUACACAAAAACUGCGUUGUUACGCUAAAGUUGUUUUGGUGACUAUAGUGUCCCUUUAACAUGCAAGGUUAUUGUAAAAGUUAACUCUUACAUGGUCUCUUAGACAACUAGUGCUAGCAGUAAAACUUUAAAUGCAAUUAAUAAUUAUUUUUUAAUUAUUAAGUAUUUUGUGUGAAAAGAGUCCUGCCACUGCUUAACUACAAUCAGGCCAUGACUUAUAAAAUACUUUUUUUUUUUUUUUAGAAAGAUUUCCCUCACAAUGGCAUCCAUUUGGACGGAAGAAUCAGAAGCCUAACCCUCGAUGGGAGGAGGAAUACUGGGAUUCUCGGAGCUGGCAAUAAAUCUAAUGGUUAUUUCAUUUCAAAUUAUUUCACUAUCUUUCCUUUUUCAAAUAGUUUCUUACUGGUUAGUCGUUUCUCAUGAACUCACAUGAAACAUGAUGUGUGUGGUGCUUUGAAGUCAAAUGUCUAUGCAUGAAAUUCUUUCAUUUAACUUCAUAUAUUAUGUGUACGUUGCCAUGCAACCACAUGUACAGUGUGUGAAUGCAUGUGUUUGUGCAUAUGUUAGCAUUAGGCAGAUUUACUGAGAAGUAACAUAUACCAGCUCAGUGACAAAAGAGCCUUUCUCCACUAAGUUUCUCAAGCUUCUUUUAGAACCAAAAAUGUCUAAUUCAAUAAUUCUUUGGAUAGGGUUGCCACCUAGCUGGCAUAUAAGACUUUCUGGCCAGUGUUGGUGUAGCGGCAACACCGGCAGACUGGAGCAAGAAUUUCAACUUGCUAUUUAACAUUGCGGGUAUACACACAUCCUCCCCAGAAGAGAAUCUGAGAAUCAGAUAUAAUAUACACACAGUGACACUCAGUGCUACAGACACAGUACACACACAAACAUCCUGUCCUGUCUGCCCAUUAAUAGUGUGCUCCUGAUACUCUCUGGGUGUCUUAAAGAAAGUGUAGCUUGAAACAAGUACUUUUUGACCAGCCAACAUCUCACCAUACUACUUAACUGACAGAGGAAUGCGUAGCAAAGGUCCUUUCCUCAGCACCCCCUGCUGACUGACACCUGAGGGGUAUCGUCUCCUCUCCUUAUGUAGCCUGAUGUAGCAUUACACUACUGGUCUUCCUUUUUGUAACAGGAUGCUGCUUUGACAAAAAAUUCUAAAUUAAAAAAACAAACCUAAUAUACUAUGCCUCCUCUACCAACUGUAGUCCCGGGAGAGCCCCACAUCUGUGGCUUUAGCCCCCCCCCCCUCUAGCCCCUCCCAGCAAUGCCUAUGCUACACACACAGAUACUACACAUAUACACUGCUACAAACAGACAUAUAUACAGAUAUAUGCAUACACUCACACACGAGUACGUAAGGAGCUAAGUGGGGAAAUAAGUGAUCCUCUGUAUUUAAUCUUUCAAGAUUCUUUUGUUUCAGGUAUUGUACCGGAGGACUGGAGGAAGGCAGAUGUUAUUCCUAUUUUAAAAAAUGGUUCAGAAUCCUUGCCUGGAAGUUAUAGACCUGUGAGCUUAACUUCUGUGACUGGGAAAAUAUUUGAAGGACUAUUAAGGAUAAUAUUCAGGAAUUCAUUGGAAAGAACUUUGUUAUUAGCAAUAAUUAGCAUGGUUUUAUAAACAUAGGACAUGUCAAACUAACCUAAUUGCAUUCUACAAAGACGUAAAUAGAAAUAUAGAUCAUGGUGUUGCAGUAUAUGUGAUCUACUUGGAUUUUGCCAAGGCAUUUGAUACGGUUUCUCACAAUAGGUUAGUGUUCAAACUAAAAGAAAUUGGUCUAGAUUAAUAUUCUUGUUCUUGGGUAGAACAUUGGCUUAAGGAUAGAGUACAACGAGUUGUCAUUAAAAGACCACUAUAGUGCCAGGAAAACAUACUCGUUUUCCUGGCACUAUAGUGCCCUGAGGGUGCCCCCACCCUCAGGGUCCCCCUCCCGCCGGGCUGGAUGGUGAGGAAAGGGGUUAAUCUUACCUUUCUCCAGCGCCGGGCGGGAGUUCUCCUCCUCCUUUCCGCCUCCGAUCCUCCUCUUCGGCUGAAUGCGCAUGCGCGGCAGGAGCUGUGCACGCAUUCAGCCAGUCUCAUAGGAAAGCAUUUACAAUGCUUUCCAAUGGACGCUGGCGUCUUCUCACUGUGAUUUUCACAGUGAGAAGCACGCAAACGCCUCUAACGGCUGUCAAUGAGACAGCCACUAGAGGCUUUAGAGGCUGGAUUAACCCUAACAUAAACAUAGCAGUUUCUCUGAAACUGCUAUGUUUAUAAAAAAUAAAAAAAAGGUUAAUCCUAGAGUGACCUGGCACCCAGACCACUUCAUUAAGCUUAAGUGGUCUGGGUGCCUAGAGUGGUCCUUUAAUGGUAAAUUUUCAGGCUGGACAAGAGUGGUAAGUAGUGUCCCUCAGGGUUCUGUUUUGGGACCGCUUCUAUUUAACAUAUUUAUAAAUGAUCUUGAAAUAGGCAUUGAAAGCCAUGUAUCAAUGUUGCAGAUGACACAAAACUUUGUAAAGUAAUAAAAUGUGAGCAGGAUAUUACUUUGCUGCAGAGGGAUUUAGAUAGAUUGGGGGACUGGGCACUAAAAUGGCAGAUGAAAUUUAAUGUAGAGAAAUACAAAGUUAUGCACUUCGGGGUCAAGAAUGCACAAGCAACUUACACCCUAAAUUGUAGUGAAUUAGAGAUAACCACACACGAGAAGGAUUUGGGAAUUGUUAUAGACAACAAAUUAGGCAGAAAUAUGCUAUGUCAAUCUGUAGUUGCUAAGGCCAGUAAGGUGUUGUCAUGUAUAAACAGGGGCAUAAAUUCUCGAGAUGAAACUAUAAUUUUGCCUCUUUAUAAAUCGCUGGUAAGACCACACCGUGAAUAUGCUGUGCAAUUUUUGGGCACCUGUUCUAAAGAAGGAUAUCAUGGCACUAGAAAAAGUGCAUAAGGUUAAAAAAUUUAAAUAUCAUUAGUUUGGAAAAACGGUGCCUCAGAGGGGAUAUGAUAAUAUUAUACAAAUAUAUUUGGGGCCCGUACAAACCAUUAUCUGUAAAUCUAUUCAUAAACGGGGCUAGACAUAGGACACGAGCUCAUGCAUUUAGGCUGGAAGAAAGGACAUUUCAUGUAAAUCAAAUAAAAGUUGUUGUUUUUUUUUUUUACAGUAAGAGCAAUAAGGAUAUAGAAUUCUCUGCCUGAAGAGGUGGUUUUAUCAGAGUCCAUACAGAUGUUUAAACUGAAAUUGGAUAAAUACUUGCAAAAAGUUAACAUACAGGGAUAUAAUUUCUAAUUAGUGGGGUAAUAGCAGCUUGAUCCAAGGAGAUAUCUGACUGCUAUUUUGGGGUCAAGAAGGAAUUAUUUCCUAGUUUGUUGCAAAAUUGGAAGCGCUACUGACUGGGUUUUUUGCCUUCUUUUGGAUCAACAGCAAAAACAUAUGUGAGGAAGACUGAACUUGAUGGACGCAAGUCUCUUUUCAGCUAUGUAACAAUGUAAUGUGUGUAUACAGCAUUUUUUCUUAGACAUUUUUAUGUAGGCGUUUUUGUUUUUUUCAGGUUUUUGUGGCUGAAUGCCUACACUUAAGAAUUCUGUGUCCACGUGUACUCAUGAUCUAAAUCGAGCCCUGGGGGGGACAAGGUCAGGUGGAAGGGUGCCAAAUGCUCACUGGGUCAGCAUUAUAAGAGUUGAAGCCAUUUUAAGAGGUGAAGCGCACUGUCAGGUGAUCAAGAGUGCAGUCCAUAUAACAGUUUAGAGGCACCAUAUGUCCUGCCCACAAGUUAAGUUCAGUCAUCCGAAGUCCAGGACAGAUACAAGUCAGUCAUCAUUAAUGUGAAAGAUGAAUAAAGAGUUGUCUAUUGGUCUCCGAGUUGAAGCCCUCCAGCACUGGUCCUUCUGCCAAUGACAUAGUGUAUGAAUGGUCAAAUCUCUCAUUCCUCUAUGAGUUUACCUUCUGUAUUACAUCGUCCUAACUCUGUCCAUCUAUUACAAUCUCCUGUUUUAGCUUCUAAUCAUGUAUAAUUAAUUGCUCAAUUUAUCUUUUUACAGAUGAAAACAUUUUUCUCCGUACAACUCUGGAUGGAUGAAUUUGCAUGUCUUUACAGAUAUCAGAAUUUUAACAGAAAAGUGAACUUUCUGAAUAAUUGUACAAUAAAAUACACCAAAGCACUUUCAAGGAUAAUCUCCUUUCAAUUCCAAAUAAACGACGGAAUUCACAUUGCUAUCACAUACAAACAGUCACUGGUCCCCCACACGUUGCACACUAUAUAAUUUCCAGCAUUGUCUGCAAGUACAGUUGCUAGAUCCACCAUAUUUUUCUUAAUAUAUAGACAGGAUUAUUAUUCACUAAAGUGAGAAUUCAAAGGGAAUCUCAAAUAAUUUAAGGCAUAAGUAGCUGAGCUGGAAGGACGUUAUUUUGACUUUAAAGCAACAUGUCAGUACCCCUGCAAAAUUAGUAUUUCAUAAAGAUAAAAUCUUCGUGAAAUACUCAUACUGACUAUGUUGGAAUCUCACUGAAAUUCCAGACGAGUCAAAAGAUAUAUUGAGUCAAAGUAGGGACUACUUCCUACGUCUGUCACUUGUAGACACUGGGCGGAGCCACCGCCAUCUAGAAUCAUGGACGGCAGAGAUAUUAGCUGUAUCUAUGGGAUCCUCCAUAGACCUCAAUGCUGUACUUUCUCGCAUCCCCGAGAUUAUAGCAGUGACAUCAGCUCCUGGUAUUGAAACACGAGGAUCAGAAGAGGACUUGCCAGAAGAAGUUGGCGGUGCCCGCGAGGGACAGAUUCAGGUAAGUGAAUGUCACUUUUCCCUCCCGACCAAGCCACCAGACCACAAAUGGCAAUGUCACCAUCGGGGGUCUUUGCAAGUAAUGCAAAGUAACUCAGACGGUGACAACGCCACUUUAAAUUUUAAAUUCACUUUGAAUUCUCAUUUUAAUGGAAAAACCUGAGAAUUACAGCAAACUCAAACGGUCCCCUGAAUUAAUUCUCUGCCUGAGGUAUAUGAAUCUACAUAAUACAAGGUAGCCCUUUUAAUGUAUUGUCCAUAGCAUGCGACAGUAAUCUGUAUUAAAAAAAAAAACACUGUAUAUGUGGCAACUAUAGCAGCAAAAUAAUGAAGUAUUGCAGUUUCCUAUGGUACCUUUUUUAUUGAACUAACAGUGACAUGCUUUUUGGUGUUUCUCCCUUCAUCAAGUCUAAAGCAUUUCUAGCAACAGCAGCUGGCAGAGUAUGCUGGGAGAUGUAGGAUGAGAUUUAUCUAGGCAGAACAGGUGCUGAGUGCUGAAUGUUGACAGUCACUCUAUGGUGACUGUACACAGACUAUACAACUAACUGCUUAUUUCUAUUUCCGUUCCCUUUUCAUAGAGAUAGUGAUCAUGGCAAGCAUCAUGCUAUGUUUGAUACUUGACAUACUUGAAAACGAGAGAAAUCUCAAUGUAUCUUUCCUGGUAAAAUAUUUUAUAAAUAAAUUUAAGAAAGGCCUCAGUCAGCAAAAAUAGUUAUAGCAAAACCCUUUUAGGGGUCCUAUGAGAAUAAGAUGGCAUGCCACCUAGUAUAUAUAUUUCCUGUUUUUAAAAGAAGAAUAACAACCAAAACAAGAGGAUGUAGUCUUAAAUUUGAUGGGCAAAGGUUUAAAAAUAAUAUCCCGAAGUAUUACUUUACUGAGAGGGUAGUUGAUGCAUGGAAUAGCCUUCCAGCUGAAGUGGUAGUGGUUAACACAGUAAAGGAGUUUAAGCAUGCGUAGGAUAGGCAUAAGGCUAUCCUAGAUAUUAGAUAAGGCCAGUGACUAAUGAGAGUAUUUAGAAAAUUGGGCAGACUAGUUGGGCCGAAUGGUUCUUAUCUUUCAUCACAUUCUAUGUUUCUAUAAACCUGUAGAAUCCAAUGGUUUUACAAACAGAAAAGUAUUACUAACGCCAACCACUAGGUGGCAGAUUAACUCAAUGAAUACGCUUCUAUAGCGAAAUCUGCAUGAACUUCAUCUUUGUAGAAUCAAUUUUACAUAAUUUAUGAUCUGAGAUCUUGUGCCUGAGAGCUCCUGC
This 9893-nucleotide long non-coding RNA is filed under the name Pelobates cultripes (western spadefoot toad). The record is from RNAcentral. Lineage: Eukaryota; Metazoa; Chordata; Amphibia; Anura; Pelobatidae.